UCCAAAGUGUUAGUGAAGAUGUGGAACAACGAAAAAAUUUCGUGCACGGCUGGAAACCACUUUGGAAAACUGUUGGGGAUCAUCUACUAAAGCUAAGUGUAUCGAUAGCCUGUCUGCGACCCAGAAAGCCCACUCCACGUGCCCAACAGCAGUGUGAGCACGUGCUGAGCAGAAGACUUGCGCCAGGAUUUUCGCUGCAACAUUGCAGCUAUAUCCACAGCGGUUAAAGACUGGACACAGCCUAAAUAUCAACAAGAAACUGGGUAAAUUACCCCAUUUUGUCCUCCUUUUGCAAAUAACUACCUAGACACGAAGACGUGAAUUCUUUGCUACCUGCAGCCAUGCAGUAACGUGGAUCUCACAGAUACGAUUUUGAGGCACAGAUGUGAUACGGAAGAGUACAUGUCGUGUGAUUCCGUUCAUGUGUCGUUGAAGAACACAGAAAAGGUCUUCAUGUUUUGAGAAACUGUACUCGAGGAGCUAUACUCUAGGAAUCCCGAGGUGUUUUCUCCACACCUGGACCUGAUUUAGGUAACAAGAUCCUAGACUUCAAGCUGAUGCCGUAAAAGAAUGAGUUUUGGGGAGUCUUUGGAAAGUACUCACUUUAGGGGAAGCCAGAAAUCAUGCUGUGAGGACCCUCCAACAGCCCUCUGAGAACAACUGAAGUCUUCUGUCAACGUCCAGCGUCAGCUUGGUGGCCAUUAGGUUAGAAGCAGGCAUGACUGAUCAAGAGACUGGGCGAAGAGCCAAGAGCCGGAGCUGUUGGGGAGAGGGCCUCCGUGAGCUAAAAGCUGCAAGAGGACAGAAGGUUCUGAAGUUCCUGCACUGCCGUAUCCCCUGAUGCAAAAGGAAGGCCCUGAGUACAUGUGGACUGACUUCACCUGGGGAUAGUCUUGUCCUCUGCACGUCAGAUGAUACAGUGUGCAUAGAGCGCCAAUAAUAUGCAGAACAUUUCUCCUUCCUACUUAGGGAGAGAAGUGCUGGGAUGAAAAGGAUCUGGGAACCUAAGUUUUAUUGUUCUGGCUAGCACUUUUCAGUGAUUGUCAAGAAAAGAGAGGAACGUGA
This is a long non-coding RNA of Leopardus geoffroyi (Geoffroy's cat), 1065 nucleotides long. RefSeq lists it as uncharacterized. Lineage: Eukaryota; Metazoa; Chordata; Mammalia; Carnivora; Felidae. The transcript is spliced from 5 exons. The record is from RefSeq and is a predicted model, not a curated record.